GUGCAUGUGAUGAGAAACUAUAUCAAACUCAUGACGGUCGUCUGAGACGCUUAGUGUGUAAUGGUGCAUUCAUAUUUUCUCUGAUGCUC
Molecule: small nucleolar RNA, 89 nt
Filed under: Brachypodium distachyon (stiff brome)
Lineage: Eukaryota; Viridiplantae; Streptophyta; Magnoliopsida; Poales; Poaceae
Description: Small nucleolar RNA Z161/Z228
Rfam family: Small nucleolar RNA Z161/Z228
About the family: Z161 and Z228 are members of the C/D class of snoRNA which contain the C (UGAUGA) and D (CUGA) box motifs. Most of the members of the box C/D family function in directing site-specific 2'-O-methylation of substrate RNAs.
Source: Rfam by way of RNAcentral